GAAUCUAGUAGUUAUGUUUGAUAUCCUCUGAAAAAUUCUCCAGUGUAGCAGAGGACUCCAAGUCUAAAAUUUAACCAUUUUUCCCAAAAGUUUAAUUUCCAUGGCUUGAUUUCAUAAAAAGCAAUUUUCAUCAUGAUUUUUAGGUGGUCAUAAUUGAAAGAGAAAUUUCUCCCCCUGAGAGAGUCUCUGAAGAUAGCUGUCUUUGACACUGAUGCAUCUCCCUCUUGGCCAGAAGCCACAGAGAUGGGUCCCCCCUCAUGUUAGGUCAUUAAUUGUUCUUCUCCAGGUCUGCACACACUAAGCUGAGAACCAAGGCAAUUAUGCAAUUAAGUCAAGCAAAAAAACGAUGCUCGUGCUCCAAUGAGCCACAAUUUUAGUUGACAGUUGCUUUGACUUGACUUGUCCUGAUAAUUGCUUUAAGUCCUCCAUGACCCUCCAAUAGAAUGUGUGAGCUCCAUUAGAAAGUGUAUGAUUUGCAGGGGAUGGUGUGCCACUAUCUUCUUACAAAAUAGUGUGGAAUGUAUAUUGAUGUCCUUUGUUUGAGUCAAAUAUAAUCUAUGUUAGUGGGAAUUUCCCCAGAAGCUGACCCUGAGACAGGAACCCAAAUGAAAUAGCUUAUCCUGAAGUGAUUCUAGGGAGCAUUGGUAGAGAGAUGGGAAAAUAAAACCACAAAUUACCUCUGUGGGUAAGGAUCUUACUCCUACAGGGCAAAUCUGAGAACCAGAAUAGAACUCUGCUUAGAAUUCCACCUGAGGUUAAUACACAGACUCCCAAGAGUCAUUGUUUAGUGCCUUGACUGGGAACAUUAACACUUUAGCACUUGGGACAGAUUGGGCUUCAAUUUGCAGGGAAAGCUGUCAAGCAAAGAGAGGCAAAUACUGGCCUGGUAGCCUGGCUGGCAGGCACUGCAAAUAUAAAUCCCAAAGGUAUAUGGAUGGGGCACCAACUAUACUUCCAGUCCUCCUCAGGCCAAAAGACCUCAGGAUUUGACAUUCCAGAUCUGGCUCCACCUUUCUUUUAUUCUCUACUUUCAGAACCAAUCCAGAUGUUUGGACAUGAACAUUCACCUUGUUAUUUUCCUGGAGGAGGGGUUCUCCUGAGAUCCGAGCUCCUCCCCCAGCUGUCAGCUUAACAGUGUGCUCAGCUCCUGUCCCCUGGGUCCUCAGAGUGCCAUGUGGAGAUCUGUUUGCCAGCCAGUGCUGAGUGCCUUCUAUGUGCAAGUGACACCCAUACAGAUAUGUUUCCAGGUUGGUGGGCCCUGGUGGAGAAGGGGAGUCUGACCCCAGUGCCAGAAGUUUCACAGUUUAAAACUUGAUAGAGUGUCACCACAGGCCAUCUCCUGUGGUGAGUCCAGCUUAGAGCCAUGUCAACUAGUUCUGAGCUAGAUUUCUAAGAGGGUCAAAAUCAAGAGAAUGUGUUCUCUUUUAUGAGGCAUUGAAACAGAAUGGAUAAAAACCUGUGUUUUGGAAACAUUUAAAUCUUUUCUAUUAGUUUGUUUGAUUCUUUGUUGUUUAUUUUUUCUUUGAGACCUAGCCCUGCUUCUCAUUAGCUACAUGGCUUUGGGCAAAUUUCUUAAACUCUUUGUCCCUUAAUUUACUCAUCUAUAAUUGGGGGAUGCUCCACCUCAUAGGCUUCUGAGAGGACUAGAUGAGAUAAUGCAUGUAAAGCACUGGGCAUAGUACCUGAUAAAUAGUAAGUUCAUAAUGGCUGGUAAUAAGACCUAAAAACUAUUUUUAUUAUAUAAAGGUGGCAAACAGGAAAAUAGGCAUCUAAAGUAGAGGGAAGGUAAACCAGGAGGAGUUUCAUGGGCCAUGUUUUAGACGCUCUGGAGGCAUUUUUGAGUGCAUGCUGCUUAUGGCUUUGGUGUGGGAUCCUGGGGAUAUUAAAGGCCUCAAGUUGCUGACUCUUCUGGGAAUAGCUUGAGAACCAGAUGAUCCAAGGAUCCCACUCAUAUUCCAUUAGGAUAAUAUGCCCACUUCAGGACUCCUCGUCCUCUGCAACCAUCUUUUAAUCAAUUAUUCUGGGCUCCACAUGUCCUAGACACUUGAUAUUUUAACUUGUAAGCUUUCAUUCAUAAAAAGUUGAGCCAUUCAUGGCCACCAGACAUGAAUUAGUGUUUGGGGACAAUGUCUGUUAUCAAGUAUGCUAACUUUUGACAACUCGGUAUCGUUUCUGAAGUCAAUGCAUUCAUUCCAUUGUUUAUUACUUUAUUCAACAAAUAUUUAUUGAUUAUCUACCAUGUGCCAGGCUCUGUGAUAAGUGUUGGGGAUGCUAUGGCAAGCAAAACACACAGAAUUAUCACUGAACAUGGAAUCUAGUUGGGGGAGGCAAUUUCAAAUAAUCAUAAAAAUAUAUACAAAUUAUAGAUUAUUGUAAGUGCUAUGAAGGUGAAACAUAAGGUCCCAUGAGGACAUAUAGGAAGAUGCCUGAGCAUCUGGGGUGAAGGUUAUCAGCAGGUCCCUCUGCAGGAAUAAUGUUGGAGUUGAAAAAUAAGGAAUUAACAAAGUUGAAAGGGCUAGAGGUAGACAGAGAAGAAUCAUAGGGUGUUCUGGUUAUCUCCUGCUGCAUAACAUAUCACCCCAAAACUUGGUGACUUUUGACAACAUUUGAUGAUCACUUCUCCUAGUUCUGUGGUUGACUGGGGUCAGCUGGGUGAUUUUUGCUUAUAGUUGUAGUCAGUUGUUGACUUGGACUCCACUAGAUUUGACACCCAAGAUGGCUCCCUCAAGUGACAGUUGAUGCUGGCUGUGGGCUAGGAGCUCAGCUGGGUCUGUCAAAUGGAACAUCUGCAUGUGACUUCUGUGUGGAGCUUAGGUUUUUGACAGCAUGGCAACUGGGAUGUGAAGGGGAGUACCCCACGAGUGUGUUCCAACAGGCCAAAGUAGAACCUAUAGGACUUCUUAUGACCUAGCCUCAGCAAUCCCAGAAUAUCACCUUUGUCCCAUUCUAAUUGUCAAGUGAGUUGCCAAAGCCAGCUCAGAUUCAAAAAUAAGGGAGAUAUAGAUUCUGCUUCUUAGUGGCAGGAAGGCACAUAUACGCAGGGAGUAAAGAACUCCUGGGCAGUCAUCUUAAGAACAAGUUACUCUGUGUGGCUUUUGCUCUUGCUAUUCAGUCUAGAAUGAUCUUUCCUGAAAUAGUUACAUUACCUACAUCAUUUAGAUAUCAGUUCAAAAUAUCUCCUUAAUUCAAAAGAUCUUCCUCAAAGAGGGCUUCAUUGACCUUUGUAUCCAGUCACUUUCUCUCUCAUGACUGUAUUGAAUUAUUUUCAUAGUACUUACCACUCCAGAAUUUUCCCUUUCUUGGAUUAUUUGCCACAGUUUUCCCAUAGUUAACCUCACAAACCUAUAAAACAUAAGCCUUAUAAGGUCACAGUCUUGGUCACCAAUGUAUCCCCUACAAAUAUGCCUGACAGUGAGAACUGAAAAAAUACCUACUGAGUGAAGAAAGAGGAUUCUAAGUGGAAGAAAUGCCACACACAGAGAUCCUGAGGCAGGAAGUGAGCAUGAUAAUCUGAGGAAAUGAACAAAGCCAUGUGUGUUGGAACCGGGGAAUAGAGAGGCAGCCACAUACCAUGGGGGCCCACAGCAGCAUCCUGCUUGGUCACAGUCAGCCUGGUUCAUUCCUGACCAUGGUCACCAUUUUCUGAAGUGCAAAAAGUAUGCAUAUGUUCUGUUAUGCAAGCGCUCUGGCUUGAAUAUGUCUAAUGUGUGCUCCAAAUGACUCACUUAAUGGAUAAAUGGCACCCGCUGAAUUUGUACUCCAUAUUCUUAUGUCUUACUCUUUCUAAAAGUAAUUGAAAAAACAACAACAA
This 3811-nucleotide long non-coding RNA is filed under the name Canis lupus familiaris (dog). Its description in RNAcentral is "lncRNA (ENSCAFG00030001564.1)". Lineage: Eukaryota; Metazoa; Chordata; Mammalia; Carnivora; Canidae. The record is from RNAcentral.